GACGAACGCUGGCGGCGUGCUUAACACAUGCAAGUCGAACGUGAUUUUUGUGGAAAUUCUUUCGGGAAUGGAAAUGAAAUGAAAGUGGCGAACGGGUGAGUAACACGUGAGCAACCUACCUUACACAGGGGGAUAGCCGUUGGAAACGACGAUUAAUACCGCAUGAGACCACAGAAUCGCAUGAUAUAGGGGUCAAAGAUUUAUCGGUGUAAGAAGGGCUCGCGUCUGAUUAGCUAGUUGGAAGGGUAAAGGCCUACCAAGGCGACGAUCAGUAGCCGGCCUGAGAGGAUGAACGGCCACAUUGGAACUGAGACACGGUCCAAACUCCUACGGGAGGCAGCAGUGGGGAAUAUUGCACAAUGGGGGGAACCCUGAUGCAGCGACGCCGCGUGAGCGAAGAAGGUUUUCGAAUCGUAAAGCUCUGUCCUAUGAGAAGAUAAUGACGGUAGCAUAGGAGGAAGCCCCGGCUAAAUACGUG
Molecule: ribosomal RNA, 478 nt
Filed under: uncultured bacterium
Lineage: Bacteria
Description: partial 16S ribosomal RNA
Rfam family: Bacterial small subunit ribosomal RNA
Source: RNAcentral